GCUAACUUCGUGCCAGCAGCCGCGGUAAUACGAAGGGUGCAAUCGUUAAACGGAAUUAUGGGGCGUAACGCUUGCGUAGGCGGUUUCUUAAGUCCGUUGUGAAAGCCCUGGGCUCAACCUGGGAACUGCGAUGGAUACUGAGGAGCUGGAGUACGGUAGAGGAAGGUGUAAUUCCCGGUGUAGCGGUGAAAUGCGUAGAGAUCGGGAGGAACAUCAGUGGCGAAGGCGGCCUUCUGGACCAGUACUGACGCUGAGGCACGAAAGCGUGGGGAGCAAACAGGAUUAGAUACCCUAGUAGUC
Molecule: ribosomal RNA, 300 nt
Filed under: uncultured Thermodesulfobacterium sp.
Lineage: Bacteria; Pseudomonadati; Thermodesulfobacteriota; Thermodesulfobacteria; Thermodesulfobacteriales; Thermodesulfobacteriaceae
Description: bacterial SSU rRNA
Rfam family: Bacterial small subunit ribosomal RNA
Source: RNAcentral